GAUGAACGCUGGCGGCGUGCUUAACACAUGCAAGUCGAACGGAAAGGCUCCUGCUUGCAGGGGUACUCGAGUGGCGAACGGGUGAGUAACACGUGGGUGAUCUGCCCAGCACUUCGGGAUAAGCCUGGGAAACUGGGUCUAAUACCGGAUAGGACGAUGGUUUGGAUGCCAUUGUGGAAAGUUUUUUCGGUGUGGGAUGAGCUCGCGGCCUAUCAGCCUGUUGGUGGGGUAAUGGCCUACCAAGGCGUCGACGGGUAGCCGGCCUGAGAGGGUGUACGGCCACAUUGGGACUGAGAUACGGCCCAGACUCCUACGGGAGGCAGCAGUGGGGAAUAUUGCACAAUGGGCGCAAGCCUGAUGCAGCGACGCCGCGUGGGGGAUGACGGCCUUCGGGUUGUAAACUCCUUUCGCUAGGGACGAAGCGCAAGUGACGGUACCUGGAGAAGAAGCACCGGCUAACUACGUG
This 466-nucleotide ribosomal RNA is filed under the name uncultured bacterium. RNAcentral's name for it is "partial 16S ribosomal RNA". It matches the Rfam family "Bacterial small subunit ribosomal RNA", at positions 28 to 507 of the family's 1533-position model. The record is from RNAcentral.